This 160-nucleotide ribosomal RNA is filed under the name uncultured bacterium. RNAcentral's name for it is "partial 16S ribosomal RNA". It matches the Rfam family "Bacterial small subunit ribosomal RNA", at positions 616 to 775 of the family's 1533-position model. The record is from RNAcentral.
UGGGACUGCAUUGGAAACUGUUUAACGGGAGUGUCGGAGAGGCAAGUGGAAUUCCUAGUGUAGCGGUGAAAUGCGUAGAUAUUAGGAGGAACACCAGUGGCGAAGGCGGCUUACUGGACUGUAACUGACGUUGAGGCUCGAAAGCGUGGGGAGCAAACAG